Long non-coding RNA from Spodoptera frugiperda (fall armyworm), 393 nucleotides. RefSeq lists it as uncharacterized. The record is from RefSeq and is a predicted model, not a curated record. The transcript is spliced from 2 exons. Lineage: Eukaryota; Metazoa; Arthropoda; Insecta; Lepidoptera; Noctuidae.
GUAGUCAACUCGGACCACAUACCUACGGCCCAUUUGGGACGAGUUGCAGAAAAUAAAAUAAAAUAAUAUUUUAGUGGUCAACUCGUCCCACGUCACUACCACAAUGAGAUAAGGUACAGUCAGUAGCAAAAGGGGUUAGUGUAGAAAUAAUAAAGUUCUAUUACUUUGUUGAAAACAAAAGAUUUUCUAGGAACUUCAUUCUAUCUAUGUUAUCAUUUACUUCAUAAGUGACCGCCAUGACCAUUGUUUAAGCCACACAUGUUUACUAUUCUUAGUAAUUUUGGAUAACACAUGAAUUUGUGCGAUUGCUAAAAUAAAUUGAGCUAAUAAAUUAUUUAACCGACACUAAAAAAAGAGGUUCUUACUUCGUAAGGAUGUUGUAAUAUGAAAUAA